CACGUAGGGUGCGAGCGUUGUCCGGAAUUAUUGGGCGUAAAGAGCUCGUAGGCGGUGUGUCGCGUCGGCCGUGAAAACCUGCAGCUUAACUGUGGGCUUGCGGUCGAUACGGGCAUCACUGGAGUUCGGCAGGGGAGACUGGAAUUCCUGGUGUAGCGGUGAAAUGCGCAGAUAUCAGGAAGAACACCCGUGGCUAAGGCGGUUCUCUAGUACGGUACUGACGCUGAGACGCGAAAGCGUGGGGAGCGAACAGG
RNAcentral lists this ribosomal RNA (254 nucleotides) under uncultured bacterium. RNAcentral's name for it is "partial 16S ribosomal RNA". It matches the Rfam family "Bacterial small subunit ribosomal RNA", at positions 524 to 776 of the family's 1533-position model. The record is from RNAcentral.